CCCCAGUACUCUAAGGUUGGAAGAUGUCACUUUACUUUGCUCCCCUUCAUGAGCUGGCUUAUCAUCUUUACAGUGUAAGAAAGAACAAGACUGAAGAGCUGAUUAAUCCAUCCAUCUCCUCUGGCUUAUCAGCCUGGGAAUGAAAACUACAGAUAUGGACUUGAUGUCAGGAAAAACAAAAACAAAACUCCCUAAUGAUCAGAACUUCCUCAAAGUGAAAUGGGCUGCCUCAAGGGGUCCCUGUCCUUGGGAGGUCUUCUAGAGGUCUGGAUGACCAUUUAUCUAAUAUGUUAUAGUACAUAAAAUUCCUUUUUUUGGAAUGGGUUGAACUGAGUGGCCAGUGAGCUCCUUCCCAACUCCAAAAUUCUGUGUUUCUGUAAUCUAGGGAAUAGUAAAGGCGUGUUAAAGACUCAUUCAUCACAUGGAUAUCAUAAAUUCAAUUCCUGGACUAUACUGAGUCUCAGCAUGAGACCUCUGGAACACAGCUGAGUCUUUUUUUUUGUUUCUUUUCUGAGUUCCAUGAGACAGGAUUGCUGGCUGUCUCUUGACUCACACUCUGCUGGAGGGAAAUGCCUCCCCCUAAGUUGGCAUUAGUAAGAUGCAGCUGAGGGGAAAGGCCUCGGGCCACUCACUCUUAAAUGCACUAGGCUCGUGAGGCUCCCCAGCUUUUUCUCCUCGAGCACAUCCUGAGCUCAUCUGUAGCCUCCUAACACUCCUCUCUUUUCACACCUUUAAUGUGUUGCAGAGCCUAGCCCACAGGGCAGAUACUCUGAGAGAUUCUCCUAACAGACAAUGACUGGACCCAAAGCUGGAAGCUGCCCAUAGGAGGGAGGUGAAAAGCCUAGAAGAGCCUGGAUCAUGGAAGCAUUAGAGAGCCAAUUGUUAAAUAUUUACCGCCUGCCCAAACUCCUCAGAAUUACCCUAAGACUCUUGUGGAAUGAAGUAAGCAGCUGCCCUUUAGGCCCCAACCUGCCAACGCAAGUAGGGGUUGGAAGAGUGAACCUGCACUACAUCCAUAUGAAGAAACUCAGGCUCAGAGAAUUAAAUAAUUUGUUUAGAGUCACAUGAGUGAUUAUUAUAGUUAAAAUAUGAAUCCAAGUCUCCUGAAUCCAAAUCUAGUAUUCCGAAAUGAGCAACCACAGAGAGAAUGCCAAAGAUGCUGUCUAGUAAGACUGGCUAUAUUUCUUGAGACACAUUCUUUAAAAACGCCUAACCUUUGCAUGCCAGGAAGAAUGAUGACCUGGAGAAUGCGAGAAGUAUGUAUAGGGUAAUUCUUUUCUCCUUCUAAGAAAGUAGCAAGAUGAUGCAGUGGAAAAAGCACUGGACCUGGAGGCAGGAAAACCAGGGUUCAAAUCUGGCCUCAGGAACUCAUUCGCUGUAUGACCCUGGGCAAGUCACUUAACCUCUGUCUGUUUCAGUUUCCUCAUCUAUAAAAUGGGGAUAACAAUACCUUACAGGGCAGAGGAACAAAUGAAAUAGGUGUAAAUUGCUUAGCAUAGUGCCUGCCACAUAGUAGGUGCUUAAUAAAUGCUUAUUUCCUUCCUUUCCUUCCCCUCUU
Phascolarctos cinereus (koala) is the source of this 1558-nucleotide long non-coding RNA. The record is from Ensembl. NCBI's taxonomy places the organism in Eukaryota, Metazoa, Chordata, Mammalia, Diprotodontia, Phascolarctidae.